CCUACGGGAGGCAGCAGUGGGGAAUAUUGCACAAUGGGCGCAACCCUGAUCCAGCGACGCCGCGUGAGGGAAGAAGUAUUUCGGUAUGUAAAGCUCUUUUAGCAGGGAAGAAAAUGACGGUACUUGAUUAAGAAGCACCGGCUAACUACGUGCCAGCAGCCGCGGUAAUACGUCGGGGGCAAGCGUUAUCCGGAUUUACUGGGCGUAAAGGGAGCGUAGACGGCAGAACAAGUCUGGAGUGAAAUGCCGGGGCUUAACCACGGAACUGCUUGGGAAACUGUGUAGCUUGAGUGCGGGAGAGGUAAGCGGAAUUCCUAGUGUAGCGGUGAAAUGCGUAGAUAUUAGGAGGAACACCAGUGGCGAAGGCGGCUUACUGGACUGUAACUGACGUUGAGGCUCGAAAGCGUGGGGAGCAAACAGGAGUAGAUACCCGAGUAGUC
RNAcentral lists this ribosomal RNA (440 nucleotides) under uncultured bacterium. RNAcentral's name for it is "partial 16S ribosomal RNA". It matches the Rfam family "Bacterial small subunit ribosomal RNA", at positions 338 to 795 of the family's 1533-position model. The record is from RNAcentral.